This 35088-nucleotide long non-coding RNA is filed under the name Eucalyptus grandis. RNAcentral's name for it is "long non-coding RNA (EGRA_LNC004807)". The record is from RNAcentral. Lineage: Eukaryota; Viridiplantae; Streptophyta; Magnoliopsida; Myrtales; Myrtaceae.
UGGGAUGCGAGAGCAGUCGCCGGCGGGAGGUAGUCGGACGUAGAUGGUGGAGGUGGCUGGUCAGGUGAGUUCGGGUGAAAGGGUGGGGAAUGCUUUUUUUUCCUUUUCCAGAAAAAUGAUCCCUGAAGAUGGUGGUCUCCCCCUUCCUCCCUUUCCGUGAACAACGCCCUGCUUUCUUUUCUUCUUCUUUUUUAUGGGAAAUUGUGUCUAUUUAAAGAGAGAGCGUGAAUCCCUAGAAAGAGCUUCCCUUUCAGAUCCGAAGAAGCCGGCCGUUACAGCAGAUGAAAGUCCACGUGCUUCCGUAAACUCGUAAACUGUGAACGAUAAUUAUUCUGUUCAAAAAUUAAUUUUUAAAAAAGAAAUUAUUUUUUCUAUUUUUGGAUGACUUCCUAAAUAAAGAUAACAACAUAAAAUUUUUGUUUUAGAAAUAAAAAUUCGUUUAAUAAUAAUAUAAAAUUUUUCCCUAGGUGGCUGCGAUGGUCAAGUGGAUAGCUAAUAGCGAGAGAAAGAGUUUUUAUUUUUCACUCUAGAAUUAGAGAAGUGAAACUUUUUAUUUAUAUUUCAAACCUAUUUAUGAAGUAAAUAUAAGAAAAUAAAAUAAUUUUACCAAACAGAUUUCUAUAGAAAAAUAGUUCUGAAAUAAAAAUUAGAAGAGUUAUCAUACAUGCCCUUACUAUCUGGUCAGAUUGUACAUUUAUCUCUCAUGUGUAAUAUCACUUUGUUCCUUUUGACCAUGACUUUCUUGAAUCACUUGAUGGUGAUAAUUAAAGAAAAACAUUAAAAGAAAAAACAAAGGAUAAUUUAUUGCACAUAUAAUUGCCGUGGAAGGUGCAUAUAAUUUAUGUUGUAUCCUUUUUUUUUUCCUUUCUUGACUUGCUUUCUCUACUAAUAAAGAAAUAGAAACGAAAACCAAUUAACAAUUUUGAUGCUUCGAUUCGAAAAGCAUAUUCUCCACCAACUAAUUUAAUAAAAAAAUUUGACAAAAAAAAAGUAUAAUAAAAAGGAGAUAGCAAUAAAAAUGAAUACCAAAGCACAUUCAACGCACCUGUAAUUUUCACAGCACUUUGCGGAAGGUGCAUGGAACCAUCAUCCAAUUGAGGUGUUUCUUGACUUGACUGGAUCUACAACCGGGGGUACAAGUGCUGGCAGUCAAUUGUAGACAGUAGGCUUUUCACGUGUCUUUAUUUAACGCAGAUGCGGGUGGCUAUUAUACCGGCCUACUUAGUGAUAGCCAAAGAUAAAUCUCUGAUGUGGUGUUUAUUUUCACCACCGUGAGGCCCCUAAUUUCAGCCUCAAUUUUUUUUUCCUGAGGAUGGGGGAAUAUGGGGUGACAUUCUCCCACCCCAGGGCGAAUCUCCCACUUGUUACUUCCCCAUAAACCUUUUAAGGACCUGCUUAGGUCCAAUAUUAAUAAAAGAAAUAUAAAAGAAAACUAGCAAUACUCCCAUGCCAAUACAUGAGUUGAUUGCAAAAACAUCAUUUGUUGGAAUAUUAUUUAUGAUGAACCAUCUAACUUUUUUCUUUCGAAAGGGAUUCUACAAAAGCAAACCCCAAAAUAAAUUUCCCUUACUUCUCAAACUAAAUUCUUCAUAUUUUAUCUUGCCUAAAGAUUUUUGAGUCAUCACCUCCUCAACCAAGUCACUUUGAUCUCACUUCUUAAAUUAUUUUUGUUUUUGACAUUUCACAUUUAUUUUUUACUUUUGAUGUUGCAUUUAGGAUUUCUUAGCUAAGGGGUAUCCACGAUCGAAUAACUAUUUAGGGAAUGCUUUUUCUUUUUUAUUUCAUUUUUGUCAAACCUUUUAUUCCAUGCUAACACUCUUUUUUUCUUAACUUUUUUAGUAAAUAUUAUCACUUAUUCAUCUGAAGGUGUUUGUCAAUAGAGAUUAAAUAUUAUGAAUCAACUAUACUACAAUAUUAGUUUUAUCUUCCAAUAAAAAUUGGAGCCUUACAACUUUGAAUAGCAAUGACGUAUAGAGGAUUCCUGAAAUGGGAUCUUCUGCUUCAACGUCUUGGUGAUAUUAUUUAGUGUAUGUACAGCUGCCUUUCCACGACGUUCUCAUGUAGGUGCUUUUGGACAUUUCUUGCCAUAAAAGGAUUGAGAAAGGUUGAGAUUUCUAUUUUGCAUGGGUCAUAGUUUGACUAGUGGAUGAUGUUGUGAGAAAUUGAAAUAUACGAGUGAUUUUGAGUGCUUUCCCUCUUUUUUUCUUCUUUUUUUCUCCUUUCAUAUCAAAUGAGAAAUACUAAAUCCUUUUACAUAAAGUUUGUGCAUUCUCUCCCGGGUUGAAUUACCAAAUUCAUCUGGUACUAUUAUAGUAUUUUGGUGCUCCAUAAAGGGCCUCAUGGAGAGUUGACAUGUGGCUCAUUUGAUGGUUGCCACCUCAUUUUCGUUUGCUUUAAUUUGUCAUCCUUUUUUUUUCUCUUCAUUUCCAGGAAAUAACUUAUUAACAAUACAGAGUACUUUGUCUAGAUGUGGAUGUUCAGUUGCAAGUGGGGAAAAGUCCAAAGUUCUAGCCUAGAAAAGUUGUUAAAGAAGCACGUAGGGAAAAGUAAGAGGGGGGCAAAGAGGAAGAAAAAAGGCCAAAAGCAGUUCACUUCCCUCAGAACUGCACCCUCAAAAAAAUUCUGAUUAAUCUGACACGGUGGGCUACCAGAAACAAUUUGGAGCGAAUUGAAUUGAAAGCACAUGCAUUAGUUCAAGGUAGGCCACACAUUACUUCUUCUCAAUAAGUAUAUCAAAUUGAACAAAUAUGCAUACUCGGAUACAUGUUGGGAGUUAUGAUUAAAAAAGGUAUCGUGUUCAAGCUCCAAAAUUAAUAAGGACAUAAAAUUAAAAGUUCAGGCUGGAAAUAAAAACUUCAAUUGCUAAAGCAUGGAAGUCAUUUCAUCAUUAUACAAGGAAAUAAAAUUAGAGACAACGUGAAUGUGGGAGUUGUAACCCACUCUUCGGCACAUGGCUGUCAAAUUACAUCAAUUUCUCGUGGGGAAAUAAGAUAGGAAAUUAUUUUGUGAUUGUGUAAUAGACACUAAAAACCGUCCAGCUUAUCUUUGACCAUAUUUAGACACCAGAAAUUCUCAAUCAACAAAAUGAUGAAAGAUACCAAAAAAAAAAAAAGUUCUUAAUUAAAUUAAGUAAGGAAACAUAGCAACGAAUCAAACAUUGGCUUGUUCCUUAUUAACAACAUGUAUAUUGAUCGAUCUUUUUUAGUAUAAUAGUUUUUGGGUCAUUGUGAAAAUAACGACAUGUGAGCACAAAAUCUUGAAGGAGUAGACCCCAUAAAAUUUUCUAAUUAUUUAUUAUUUAUUAUUUAUGGCCCAAAAGAGGCUGUCAAUCUCAUAUUAAAUAAAGAACAGUUACAUAAGCAAUUCUCAUUUUGAUUAAUCGCACCAUCAAUGAUGAUUUUUUUUUCAUUGGUUGCUUCAAAAUGUUCGUCCCUUGAAUCUUAUAGAGAUUCAAUAAACGCGAUUAAUUUUUCCUUCUCUUCUCAGGCGACCAAGGUUCUUGGAGAAUUCUUUCUUUUUUGUGGGCAACUGCGUGAUGCUAGGAAAAAAAAUGAUCACACUUAAUGAAUCAAUUUGUACAUCUCUUUCUGAUGCUAGUUUCCACGUUGAUCAAUUUAAACAUUUUAGUUUGACUUUUUAACACUCCUCCAUAGCAUGAGAUAUUGUUGCUUGAACCAUGUAAUACGUGCUUAGACUUUAUGACAUUAUACUUUACUUGCAUUAACUCAGUCCUCGCGGAAUCUUUCUUUGCUUUUCUGAUUAGUCAAAAGCUCAAGUGAAUAUUUGCUCUAUCACUUUCAGGAAAAAGGAAGAAGUGAAAUGAGGUAAGCUAGUUCGCUGGAGAGCUCACGUGAAGAGAAGUUCGUGCUAGCUUCACUUUAAGACAAAGACAUACAAAUUAUAGUUUUGAUAGCUCUCUCUUUCAUUGUACUCCGAGACGUAAAAUCUUUGCUCUUAUCAUUUGGUUAUAAAUGUAGUUUUCGAGCUAAUCACGUAAAUUUAUUGUGUAGUUUCUUGGCUCUUAAUUUUGUUUUUUUUAAGCCUUCUUGAUUGCACAAAGGUUUUAGUUCUGGGACUCAAUUUGCUACUUGUCCUAAAUAAACAUUGUUUUCUUGAUGAAAAAUUAUUUGAUGGAAUAUAACAUAGCACAUGGAUCUUACCGUCUUUUACUCGUGUCCGGCGGAUUCUGUUCACAAUGAGCACGGGAAAUUGCGAAAGUUGCUAAUGAAAUGUGGAUUUUUGACCAGUCCAUCAGAAUAAGACAACCUUACUCAGACCUCCCAAUCAAGCACAUGGCGCAAAGAAUCAAUAAUGGAGCACAAAGCACAUGAUGCCUAAAGAAAUAUUAUCAUCAUCUCCAAUGUUACACACUUCCCUUAGCCAAAAGAAUCUGGUCAAGAUUAGUUCAGAGGUUGUCUCACCAAUUGGGCCUUUGAAUAUUGUCAAUCAAGACAAAACAACAGUUGCCCGUCAUCGUGGUCAUUAAGUAAUCUCAUCUGGCCUGAAUCAUCUCAAGCUCCCUUUCCCUUUUUUAAAUAAAGCAAAGUAGUAGCAAAGUCGCCUCCACUCCUCGCAGAGAAUAAGUGCAAAAUGCUUCCUAGCAGGCAUGCACGCCAAUUUCCCUCUGAGUACGAAUUAAAAAGGAAAAGAAACACGAGCCGUUAUUAUUAUGUUUCGUUACAUUAUCUUCGAUCGAGCAUCUGAUUAAUUUUCAUUAAAUCAGAGUCCAUCUUGACAACUUCCAUAAUAACUAUCAACGCAGAGAUUUGCUUAGAUAGAUAUCAAACAUUUGGUACUAGAAGUGUUUUGGAAGGACUAAAGAUAGACUUUGAAUUUUUCACACGGGUAAGAUUUUUGUUUAGACGGUUUAAGCCAGUUGUUUGGAUUGGUUUUCUGUCAAUUUCUAAGGAGAUUUAUUCUAAAGCUGUGAAAUGAUGUCAUGCUAAUUUGAUCAAACGAUUUACGAGUCCUAUGUGAAUGAAACAUUGAUUAAUCUUAAACAUUAACCUGAGGAUGAUUUGAGGCAUUGAGCUGCCAGUGACACUAACCUGACUAUAAGAAAUAACAUUUUUGCUGAACAAGUGAGCCAAUUAGCUGGCAACCUAAUCCUUGAUAGUAUGAUGAAAUGCCGUAGCCCAAAAGAACAGGAUUUUCCGCAUGGAAUGGCCUUCACUAGGGUAAAACUUUUGAUGUCGAUCUCGAGGGUGAGACUACUAGAGUUCUAACUGACCGCCAACUUAUUGGACAGUCUACACUAAAUGUAUGGACAUCAAGAAGAGAGAAGUUUGGAUGAGUAAGAUUGACCGGGAUGGCCAACUCGAACCCGAGGGGUAUUGCCACCAUUAUCGUAUUAGACGAGCCAACGAAGUUGACUUAAGGACGAAAAUGAACAUGAUCCAUUGGCAGAGGCUCUCUCCACCAAGCUUGCUUUCCUUAUGGUUUCAAUUUCAUCAAGGACUUAAAUUGCAUUAUGAAAGUUUUUUAAUUAUGUUUUCCCCGUUUAUAUGUGUAGGGGGACUUUCUACAGUUGGAUUUACUAUUUGAUUAAUUUAAUGUGAUUUUGUUAGCAUAAAAAAGGAAGAGAUUGUUGAUCCUAAUUUAAUUCUGAUGAUUAAAAUUCUCACCCAAAUAUGUUAUUGAUUAUUUGGAAUUAUAAAUGUUGUAUUUAAGUUUUUUUUUUAAAGAGUUUCGAAAGGGUAAAACAGACCAUCUUUGAGUACCGUUUAUUCAGCACAGCUACCGAACUUUUGUCCAAGCAAUUCUAGAAUGCACGAAUUUUUCCAUUUGUGCACCCAUAAUUGAUGCACUAUAGACGUGGGAUCAGCUAACAUUCGAUUGAGGCCAUCCAUCACAAACUUAGUUUCUCAUUUCUGAUUUUUCAUUGUUGACACCUAAAUUUUGGCGAUCCGUUUAUUCAUUUAUCGCAUUAAAAAUAUUAGGGAUUAAUUUUAACCCCUAAAAAAAUAUAUUAGUUAAUUAAUUAAUUGCAUAGCAUAUAGAUUUAUGUGCAUUUGCAUUUUUUGCAUUUAUUGGACCGGUGGUGGAUGGGUUUGAAUUAGUGGUUCUGAGCUUUAAAUUGACAGGCCGGACUAAGCCCACAGAGCGAGCAAAUUGGCUCAGGCCCUUUUUUUUAUGAUCAGAAAUUAUCUUGUGAAAAUAAGAAUUUGAAAUUUUCCGAAAUAUGAUGGAAUUUUUCGGAUAGAGCAAAUGGAAAAACGAAUAUUACGUUCGAGAAAGUAAAUAUUGCAUUUGGAAAAAGAAUUUUUGUGGAUACCGAUUUGGAAAGAUUAAAAACCGUAAUUCGCGACCUAUAAAUAGAUUAAUUUGUGUAGGGUUUCGGAGGGCCACACAAUUGAGAACACACGACCGCAAAAAAGAGAAAACUCACGUUCUCCACGGAGAGAGAGGCAAUACCGAGGGGAAGACUCCUUUUUCACGAAGGUGGCGAUAGAGCAAAGUCAAAAUACCGUUCCAGCCGUCUUUUUGGCGUUGUGCAGCCUCAGUUCUUCAUCCGCAAUGCCUUGUUAAUGAGUGCUACCCUAUUGAGCUGUUGUCGACACCAUGGUUUGACGUGCCUGAGUUGUGUCGAGUUCCCCGAUGUGCUGCCCUCAUCACGUUUAAAGCUCUUGGUUUGUGGAAUCUCCAGUGAAUUGCUCCGACAGAUUGUAAUCUCAACCCUGAGCACACCACCAAGAGUUGUUUCAUCACGCUGAGAAGCAUCACCGCAAAAAAAGCCUUGUUGCGAUCCGUCACCGACUUUUGCCCAGUGAUCUCUCUGGGCUGAGCACCAGCCAGAAGAGCCGGACCACCAGUGGCUACCCUCAUCGAUGACCCCGGCCUCGACAACUCGCUACUCGGAUUGUGCCGUUGAAUUUCUUUGUUUUGCAGGCUGACUUGUGCGCCGGUGACCAGGUGGCCAUGUCCCUAUGAUUCUUGAGUAUAUCGUCCGUGAAGAAAUUCACUCGUGUUCACACUUCGGCGUCCAUCAAGUCACGACACUACCGGUUGAAAUCAAAGAAGAAAAAUACGAGAAUUCUCAAUGGAAUAUUUGAAUUCACGGCCACUCAUGAAAGUUCACCCUAAAAGUUAUAGCCAAAGGACAAACACGUGGGAAAGAAUUGGCCUCUGUGUAGCCUGAGGCGGUGGAAAUUUGGUUUUCGGUGGGAGAGGGGGGUUAGAUAAAAAAAUAUAUACAUAAGGGUGCAUGGCAGCAGGGGAAACGCCGACAGUAAGGAGAUUCGAGGGUUUGGGGUCUAAUUCUUUAAUCUUUUAUAUUGCGUUGGUCCUUGCCGCGCACUUGUUUUGAUUUUGCAGUCAACCGAGCACCACACCGUGAAUUACCAGCUCGAGCAUCCCAAGCUGAGAUGCCUUGCCGGCUUGCUCUGAAGCACAGUUGGUCAUCACGAACCGGCCGCCGUUCGAAGACCAAAUUUGGAAGCAAUAUUUGGGAUAGGUAAAAAUUGUCUAUUCUAAUUUCCGAAAAUUUUGUUUCCUUAUUUGAUAUAUUCAUUGGUGCACAUGAUGGAAAUUCCCGAUAUGCCAUGAUAUUCGCAACUCGAGUAGCCUCCUAAAUUAGGAAAUCUUCCUAAUUUCGCAACGUGCACAUGAUUGACAGUCCGAUUUCAUACUCGUAAUGCGACUCGCAAUCACACGGAAAAAUCGCCAAUCCGAUCUCCCGCUCGAGAUUCGAUCCGCGAUUUAUUUAAAAUUAGCCAACCCAAUCUCAUGCGCGGGAUAUGGUUUGCCAAUUUGUGGAUAUCGAUCAUAACUUAUCUGAUUUGCUGUCAUGUUGGUUGAAUUAAUUUUAUUUUGUUAAAUAAUAAAAUCCAAAAAAGGCAUAAAUUUAGGAUGUUAGAUUUUCUUUAAUUUAAAUUGCACGUUUAAUUAUGUGUCAAUCUUAAUUUCGAAUUUUAUAAAAAAAAAAAUACAAAAAUCAUCAUGCAUAUGUCAUGUAGAAUUAGGGUAUUCAUUAUAUGUCAUGGCAUAUUAGGACAAAAUUGCAUGUUCCAUUUAAGUUUAGAUUGAUUUUUUUAGAUAGACGGCAUCUUAGGUUAGAGAUUGCUAGGUUAAGAUAAUAUCUUAGUUUAAAUUAGGAUUUAGUCUGACAUGAUCCUUAAUAUAAGCUGGAUAGAAUCUUAAUCUAGAUAGAUAAUUUUUGCAUUUUUCUUAAUUUCGAAUUUCAUGGAAAAUACAAAAAUUGUUCGAAUAAAUUAGUUAAUUCUCUGGGAUAGAUUGCAUAUUCAUAUCAUAUAGUUUAGGUCAUUUAGUAAAUUUUGAAUUGCAUAUUGCAUGAUUUUCAUUAAUCAAGUGAAAAUAAAAAAAAUUACGUAUUAAUUAGAAAUCAUAUCUAGGGUUGUUGAUGUGGAUUCUAAUUUAACAUUGCAGAUGCUUUCGUUGCUUCGAGGUAAGUCUUGCAAUUUAUUUAUUGUUUUACUCAGUUGUUAAAUUGGUGAUUUGCGUAUCCGCAUGAUCACCUCAUAUGUUAGAGAAAUAGAUUUAAAACCAAUCAAAGCUGCCUGUAAAAAUGUUUUUUUUGAAAAUAAAAGAAUGUACCGAAAGGGCAUUAGAGAAAUCUAGUGUAACCAAAUCCUCGUACCCAUAAUUUCUGGUUCGUAGGAGUAAAGUAAACCUCCCAUUACUUUAUUUGAGUUUCUAAUUGACCCACCAAAAAUAGAUUAGUGGCGACUCCUAAUUGAAAAUCAAUUGUAUGUUAGGAACUUGAAUCCAAGUCGCGAAUUGGUAUGGGCUUGAGAAAGCUCGCGUUAAGUCAAGGCUUAACAAUCCAUUAGCCAAUUGGUCGUGACAUUCAUAAGAAAACAAAGUCAUGUCCAGUGUCCACAUCAUUCUUUCUAGCAGUAACGCAGAAAGAUAAAAUAAUCACAACUCCAGCAACGUUACCUUCUCAAAUGGUACAGAACCAGAACCUCACAUAUUUUCAAACACAAAACAGAAACUUCCCCCCGAUGCUCCGUUGUCUCUCUUGCGAUUUGUUAGGCUCCAUUAGAGUCUUCCACUAAGGACUGUUUUCAAGAAUUGACUUCAACUUUCCAACCAUAGUUGGAACUUCUAAACCUGUGAAGAACACGUCAUUACUAGAUCAACAGAAAAACGAACAACAUAAUAUGUUUGAGGGGAAAAAAAACAAAUAGAUAUCAAUGGAUUCCUACGAACAAGAUGAGAUUAUACUAGACUCGGCCUCCCAAUCACAAUAAGAACAAUUCUCAUCCUGGACUAAUCUACAAGACACGACUACAUUACGCCGAGAGACAACAGCAUUCCUUCCAAAAGUUUUAACAAUAGAUUGAAGGUCACUUUGCUUUGGAACAAGCUGCUACGUAUUUUAAAAAACAAAAUAAAAGCUCUAAUUUCACAAAACUAGUAUUCAGAACAUUUAAAUCUUGAAUUAAAAAAUGGGUUUGGUUUUUCUUGGGAGGAGGGGGUGGUUUAAAGCUGGAUUCAGGUAGGCAAAAUGACAAACAUCUGGUGGACGUCACCCAGUGGGGUUUCCUCGGACGAAGGUGAGAGGGGACGAGCACUGGCGGUAGGAGAUGAUCUUGUUCACGUAGUUGUCAAUGGCUUCCGAAGCUCUAAACUCUCAAUCCACGGCUAAGCCACUAUUCAUCUUCACGGAUGAUUUUCUUCCAUUCUUACCUCGUGGAAUUUUGGACUGUACAGAGCAGUCCAAGGGGACUCCAUCACCCUCGCUCUCUUGCCUCACCAUUAUCAUUUCCACCGUCGGGACUUCAUUAUCCCCCUUGUAAUCGUGACACAGCCUUCGUUCGAGCGCAAAGCAAAACUCACGACGUGUCAAAAAACGCUUUUGAAGAAGACGAGCGGACAGAGUACCGCGGCUGCAAAGGAGAGUUGCGACGCACGAGAGAUCGAUCGAGCUUCUUUGAAGUCAUCGGAAGAAAAGAGAGAGGAGGAAAUACAGACGAUGGACAUUCGAAGAAGAUAAAAAGGUUUGAUCCAACACCUGAUCUUCAACUAUUCUGAUUUGCUUUUUUUAUUUCCUACUGUUUUUACAGACUCGUCAGCGUUUACGAAGUGACGGAACAAGUGCCCACGUAAUCCGCCACGUCAACCGUCGCCUCAUUUUGUAUACCAUGAGGCAGUAAAAUUUUAUUAGCUCUGGCAUCUUUAAAAUAAAGUUAGGUUGUUUGAGAUUCAAAUUGGCUAUAAAAAGUGCAAGAAUUAAUGGCACAUUAUAAAACCAAAAUACCUUUUUAUCUAUCUUCUCAUUCUUUUAUACGAGAGAAACGUAAUAUACAGAUUAUCUCAUUUAGUAAAUGUAGCGGACGGAUAAUCUUUAUACAUCAUUUAUUCACUCAACUCAUAAGAUAACCACUAAAUCAGUUUUCCAAAAGUAUGGCAUUAUUAGAGUCAUGGAAGGUAUCGAUCAAAUACACCCUCGAACAUUAAGCAAGCUUGCUCUCUCAUAUUUUCGUGUUGAUCAUGCCAAACAAUACUUAUAUUCAUAUUGAGAAUUUUCGGUUUUAUGAUUUGAGUAAGAAUUAAGUCUAUCCACCGAAAUUCCGCAAGGAAAAUUUGAACAGCUAUCACCAAAUUUAGGUCUAGUACACUGCUCUUCAUAAUAUCAAAAGGGAAAGUAGAAACUAUAUAUCAUGCCUUUUGAUUGAUAAUUUUAAGCCAUAAUUCGCUUUAUAAUGUUUGCACCUAACAAUUCUCUUGGCAUGUCAAUAGUUUGAUGGCAAAGCUUGCAUCAAUACGGAUUUCGAAUUGGAAAUUUAGCAAGUAGACAUAUAACAAGUUCUUCUAGAGCCGGCCUCAAUCUAGUAUGUANNNNNNNNNNNNNNNNNNNNNNNNNNNNNNNNNNNNNNNNNNNNNNNNNNNNNNNNNNNNNNNNNNNNNNNNNNNNNNNNNNNNNNNNNNNNNNNNNNNNUUGAUAGAGACCGAUCUAAUGACAGGAAUAGCAAAUUGCUUAGAAAUUAAAGUGGAAGUGCUACAAGGAAUAAAGGAAAGCAAAGCAAAGAACACUAAACUCAAAGGAAAGAGCCGACUAAAAUCAACUGAAAACGAGACUACUACGACAUUAACAUUGCUGGAAUUGAAAUUAAUCACAGUUUGCACAAAAGACGCGCGAACGGAGACAAUGACAUGAACGUUACAAUGAUACUGGAAGGGAAAUCAGCAGUAAUUUUGGCAAGGUUCUGGUGUAAUUUGAACAUAUCUUCUUCCUCUGCAUCUCUUCUAUUUUUAGUUAGUCUUAAGUUCCCUUUGAUUAUUACUAGGUCGAUGAUCAUUUCUUAACUAAACUGUUUUCAUGUAUCCAUGAUUUCCUACCUCAACUGCCUUCAUGUAUCCAUAAUUUCCCAACCUAACUAAAUUUCCGAUUCCUGAGCAUUUCUCAUCAACUACCUUGUCUCGUUCUAGCUUGGUGAAGUUUAUAACUGUUUCUGCUUCUUUUGAAUUCGAAGUAGGUCAAAGACUCUCUUUCUCAAACUUCGGCGGAAUGGUCUUUCGUGAGCAUAAAAACGAAAUUGAACUUGAUACAGCUUGGCUUGUGAUUUUUUACUACCAACAUAUUGUUGACUUAUUGUUAUUAUUAGACGACAAUUCAGUCACACAACCAAAGCACAAAGUAAACCGAAGCACCAAGGGAAAAAAGAAAUCUCUGUCAUCAAAGGAUGAACCAUCAAUUCGCAAUAUAUGAUCAGCAGUCCAGAACGUAGAACGAUAACAUCCAAAUCACUCCGUCCGAUCUCAGAUUGAUCAACGACAAAGACAAAUUCGUUAUUAUCAUCUCUGAGGCAAAACGUCGAACAGGUGGUGAUCACUAAGGGCGAGGUGUUCUGCAAAUAGGAAUUCCCAUCAAUUGGCAAGGAAUAUAACAUGAGAAAUCCCUCUAAAAAAUUGCUAGAGCGGAAUCGACGAAUUCGAGACCAAAUAAUGGACAAGAAUUCGAGAUAACAAUUUGAAUCUCUCGGCAAAAGGGCAAUACAGAACAAUCGUAUGAUUGAAUCUCGAUGAAUCGACCGCGUCCUACCUUGGGGGAGAUCCGAUCCGAAUGGUUACCUGCUAAUAAAUGAAAGACACUCAAAAAGACUUGGAGAAUCUGACGAAAACAAAGCUAAGGCGACGAAUCGAUUCAGCGACGAAAUUGCUCGACGAAGAUAUUCGGCUGCAACUGGCUUCGACCGCGGGCGUGGAGACUGGAUUUGGUCCAGAGCGCUCAAGAUAUUUUUCUCGGUCUGGGUGUGUGUUCUUGCUUCGCUCGGUUCCUCAGCCUCUCCCGCACGCACCAAGCGAGGGAGAAAGAGCACGAGAGAAGUUUCGAUCGGUGGUGAUGAGCGUCCGUUCUCUGCUCCGUCACGGCCGAGGUUGCGGUUACCGGCGAGGGAGAUUUGACGGCGGCCGUCACCGAUCGGAGAUGGCGUAGACGAUCGAUUGAGGGUGAUGCAGCUGGAAGGAAGAGGCGAUUGCUCCGAACAGCUAGCCAGAGGAAUGGAAUGGGCCGGAUUAAGUCUCCGAAGUACUACCGAAUCGGAACGAGGCCUUUUUUAUUUUAUUUAUUUAUUUAUUUAUUUGUAUUUGGUUAAUUUUUAUUCAUCCAUCAUUUUUUAUUGCCCAUUUAUUUAUUUAUUUUUACAUAACGUCACAAAAAAUGCACGUUCGAUUUGUCGGCCGAAAUUCUAGGCGUCAACAAUUAGUAACAUUUUAAAGUAGCUAACUUUAUUAAUUUAAAAUGAGAGUUUACCAUUGAUAUUUUACUAGCGAUUGCGUUUUUAGAUGAAUAAACUCUACAUAAUCCAAUUAUGAGGUUGGCAGUUCUGUGAAAUUAAUUGACAGAUAAUCGAGUACAUGAAGUUCUGUAUAUUAUAUCACUUGAGAGUUAGUUAUAUAUGAGCUGCAUUUGCAUACAUUUUUUAUAUGGGCGCUAGCUAAAUAGGUGAUAAGUUGUCAUAGUUAUAGUUUCUUAUAUCCGAAAUAGUGAUGAAUCAUGCUGGUCGUUACAUCCUUAAUCACGUCCUUCAUGUUGUCUAUUUUACCAACCAUUUUUUCCCAUGAUUUAAUGAUUUAAAUAAUAUAAAAUAAGAUAAUCUUGACUAUAAUGUGACUAUUUUGCCAAUUUUGGAUUCUGCAAUAAAAUAUCUUUUACUAAGUUUUAUAUUUUGGUUUUUAUUAAAGGAGACUUAGGUUUUGUGCUAAUAUUGGAUAGAGAGAGUCAAAUGCUAACGGAGCUAUAUAUCAUAUAGUUCCGAAUAUUAUAAAGUCGCUUAAUAUGAGGUUAAAAUCAAUGAUAACCACUGUUGAAAUCCAAUUAACAGUUUGAUCCAAACUCACUUUAACAUACUAAUGAAAACUUAUCAAAAUCAAAAUGAUUUGUACAAUAUCGAAAUUGAUUCAACAACACUAGAUAUUAACAAAAGCACCAAGAAAGCGUUGCUUUCAAAUGGGUUCGAGGAUAUAACGUCGGAAUCUAAUCAAUAAUGCUAAAUAGUGGGAAUAACACCUAAUAAACACAUCUUCUAAGUGAAUAUGAGGACACAAUGUUAAAAUAUAAUCAGCAACGCUAGAUGGUGGUAACAACAUCUAGCCAAUAUUGUUCCUAGAUGAAUAUGAGGACACAACGUCGGAAUCUAAUCAACAACUCUAAUCGAUAAUGUUGGACGAUGGUAACAACACUUAGUGGGUAUUGCUCCUAAAUGGAUAUGAGAACACAAUGUCGGUAUCUAAUCAAUAACGCUAGAUGGUUGGUUAGUAUUGGAAUCUAAUCAAUAGCACUACCUAGGAUAUAGAUAUUUGUCGGAAUUGAAUCUACGAUGAAAAUCUUAAACUACAGCUAAACUAGACUAGGCUAACAUAAAAAGGUCAUAACGGAACCUCAACACGACUUUAAUGUCACCGAAACACGUAAUUCAAAACGGCAUCUACUCUAACAGAACAAGCACACAAAUGGAGUGGAUAGCAAACUAACUACGGCGGCCUCUAAUCGCGGGCUUCUCCAGCUGAAGGAAUGGCAUCUCCGGCGAAGCGUUUACGGCCGGACGCAGACGAUGAGAAAUAUGCCACCAAAAAAUUAAAGAAAACGCCGAUUCAGCGUCGGUUUAAUGAUUCAUAAUGAAUAUAGAGCACAAAAAAGUAACAUUUCCAGCAUCUCGCUAAAAUUGAAUUCGAUUUUUCAUGGAGACGUUCCGUCGAACAGUUCAUGUGCAGUUCGGAAUGCCACCUCUAGUUACGAGAGCUUGCUGCGACGAACGGCGACGAGCCAGUCGGCUUCCCCGGAAGGUCGCGAGGGUGAUGAUCAAGGCGACCACCGACGAGAUGAAAGAAUUCUCUCCUCUCGGUUUCAGAUUCCUCUUCGAAACACCUCCGGCUCCAGCCCUCCGAACCGAUCCCCUCUCUCUCUCUCUUCUUCUUCCUCUUUCGUUUCUGCUCCAUCCUUACCUUUUCAAGAAGAACAAAUUGAACUCCUAACGGGAAAGCCCAUGGCCCAUACGGCAUUCAUCUCCAUCUUCUUCGCUGGGCGAUCCUCGCUGCGGUUCGAAUCGCCGCGACUCUCUGGUGUUCAAGCGCCGUCUCCAGGCGGCGAAUCUCUGCCUCGCUCGAGCAUCUCUGGCGGCAUUGAUCGUUUUUCUCUCCACAGCGAUGGUGCAGAAGCAGCACCACAAGUCCAACGCCAAGAAACAGCCUCACUAACUGAUUUCCUUCGCUACUUAUGGUUGCAAUUUCCAUCUACUUAGGCACUCGUGACAAUUGCUUGCUCUUCGAUGAGGCGGCGUAUCUUGUCUCCGAAGAAAUUCGAAAGUUUCAAUUGCUGUGAUAAUCUGUUUGUUGCGGCGAGGCCUCUGAAAUUGAGCUUUCGUGGAGGUGUUUUCGGCUAAGUUCUUGGCUGGAGUAUUCAUCGGUGGUUGUUUCUAGAAUCUGAGUGGACGUGAAUGUGGUACGCGUUGAUGAACAGGUCAAAAAGCAGGGGAAGCAGGCGGAUAACACACAGUUCCGAGCUCAGCUUGAUGCGCUGGGCCUGAAAAUUGUCCAGGUGACUGCAGAUGGUAAUUGCUUUUUCAGGUCUGUGUUCCUUGUUAGAAAAAGAUCACCGUAUUGUUCAUGAUUCUGUUGAAUGUUUCCAGGGUUUGAUUUUUUUUUUGUUAGAUAACAGUAUUCCUCUCUGUUAUGGAAGAUUAUUGGUAUGCUCAUUGCAUUACCACUCUAUCGUCAGAACACAACACAAAGUGCGUUUUAUGGUACACUGGUUCUGGAACUCUAUCAUCGAUGUACUGGAAAUUCCUCAGUUGGAAAAAGUAUUGCAUUUCGUAUAAUGUAUCAUUCUGCUUGAGACACUGCAUGUGGAAAUAUAUCUUGAAGAAUAGCUCUAUUUGUCAGGGAAUGUAGCUCUUUUAACUUAGUCUCGAGGAUAUUAGAUUGACUCUUCCGUUAUCCAACUAAGUAACUUUGUAAAUUUCUGUCACUAUUGUAUUGCUAUUGUACAACGCCUAGAGAAACUAACCAUGUGCCUCAUUCCUGUUUCAUUCCACAUAUUUGAAUUAUCCAUCAUCCAGGUAAUCUUACAGCCUUGUAUGGAGCUUUUGUUUAUAGAAACGCCUUUGCUAUGGUUGGAAUUUUCAUAGUUGUCCACUCUUGUUAAUCAGGGCCCUUGCAGAUCAGUUGGAAGGCAAUGAAGAAGAACAUGGGAAGUACCGUAGUAUGGUUGUUCAGUACAUAUUGGUAUGUGGAGUGCAGAUUUCUCUUUUUCAAACUGUAGGAAUUAUGUUUGGGGAGGGGGGGGGGGGUUUACAUGGUGAUGUAGUCCUCAUUUGUACUAGUCCUCAGUGAUCCGAAUCUAAACUUUAUUUGGUGCAUUUUGUUCUUGAACUUUUCUGUAAGUAUUGAUGGAUCUCACACUUAUAUAGAUACUGAAAUAGCAUGCCUUUGGAAGAAAAAACCAAGUUAAAAUGGGUAUUAUACAUUGAAGCAUACAUUUCUGCUGCCAAUGGUUAUUCCUGGUGAUAUUCAGCUCACAGUCACAGUUGCAUAGAGCUAUAACAACACAAGGAUCACCUGAGCAAUUUGACAUUCUUAUUUUACUAGAGAGGAAAACCUUUUGAGUGUUAACCGUAAUUUGGAUGGUGUAUCUUGGCCUAAACUGACAGGUGCAGGAGGAAGCUGGACUUUUUAGUUACCCGCAUUGUUCUAGCCUACAGGAAUGUGCGGUUGCUACUUUAGGGUGCCAUUAUUAUGCAAACCGACAUAUUUUUGGAGGAGAUAUUGAGAAAAUAAAAAAUUAGAGAAUUGAUACUAAAGUAGAAUAAGUCAACUUUUUACCAUGCAUGAUAAAACUUUAAUGUUUUGCAAUGGCACAAAUUGAUAGUCUUGCUUGUUUCAAGUUUCAACAGAAUCCUUUAUUUUCAUUGGUUUUUUCUCAUAGUUAUGUGUUUAAGGAAAUAAAAUCCUCGUCUGAAGAAUGGACCUGAUAUAUGCAUCUAAGAUGGGAAUUGUUAAUGACAGAAAAAUCGUAAAAUGUUUGAACCAUUUAUUGAGGAUGAUGCGCCAUUUGAGGAAUAUUGCAAAACCAUGGACAAUGAUGGCACAUGGGCUGGUCAUAUGGAAUUGCAAGCAGCUUCUCUUGUUACACGGAGUAACAUUUGCAUUCAUCGGGUAAGACUGACAAUGAAGUCAUCAACCAUCACCUACGUGAAGUUUUGUUGGUUACAGUCUUUUCAUUCCUUCGGGAGAAACAUCCAGACAAAAUGAGAAUGUCAUUAGACUCAUCAAUUGUUAGCCUUGCUACUGGAUUUGAAGUUUUGCUGUUUAAGCAUGCAUCCUAGAAUUCGAUGACCAUUGAAGAAUCCAUGAUUAUUGGUUUCCAGACUCAUUGUCCACUUAAUCAUAUAACGGUUUUCAGAGAUAUAUUGCACCUUUUAGCACAAGGAGUUCCGAUGGGUGCAUAUAAUCCUAAUUCAAAGAAGAUUUAAUAUAUCGAACUUGUUACAAGAUUGCUGGCUUUUUGAGUGUUCUAUAUGUCCUUGAUGAAUUUACACAGCACUAAUUAGUUUUGAUACAUGCUGUGCAUGCAAAUAUCUGUUCGUUGACGCCAAAUGGAACAAAUUGUCUCACUCCUUACUUGAUGCAGAACAUGUCACCUCGGUGGUACAUACGCAAGUUUGAUCAGCCUGGUGCUCGUAUGAUCCAUUUGUGAGUUUUCUGAAUAUAGAGACUGAUGCUUUUUUUGCUAAGCAAGUGCUCAAAUACUGGGAUGAGAUUUGGCUCUGUUUGUAUACACUUAAAUAAAUGACCUUUUCUUACGUUUUACUUUCCCUCAAAUGAUUUGAAAAUAAUACAAUGUUUUUAUUUUUUAAGUGAUUAUGAAAAGAUUAUAUAUUUCUCCUGGUCAAGUUUUUUUAUUUUUAAAAGGUUUUAGGUGUUUUGAGUUUCAUAAAAGUCAAAUUGCAAGAGCUGCAAGAUCUUUUUUUUUUAUAAAUGAAAGCUAUAAGUACAAGUCGUCCAAACAAACCAGCUCAUUACACAAAAGAAGGUACUGCAGCUUGUUCAGGGAGACUGCUGAUUUGUGAAAUUAUUUUGGCAUGCAAGGACAACAUCUCAUAAGUUGCAGAUCCGAGUGUAGUUGCAGUGUUGUUAGAUUUAACCAUGGAAGUUCUUUUGCUAGUUUGAGAGACGUUUUGGUGUGGUCGGAGAGGGAUAAAUUACUGGCUAAGCAUAUGUGGUAGGAGAACAAAAUGUCACUUUAGCUUUUGUUUCUUCGAUAAAUUAUUUUAUUGAAAUUCCCAUUCAUAAUCCUUCAAUGAAUGGCAUCCCUUAAUAUUCUAAGUUAAGAUGGAUUGAAUCUGUCUAGGUAGUAGCCAUCGUGACCUUGGAUUGUCACGAGGAUCAUGAAAUUUGGUGGAUAUAUGAUAUUCCAUACUUUACUAUCUUCGAUAGGUGUCAUCAUGUGAAACCAGUAAGCAUAAAAAAUGUGUGUUGUGCCAUUAUUGUUUUGUGGAUAGGGAAAAUCUUAUGUUCUUUUUGUACUGAUGGUGUUUUAUUAUUUGAACUUAUAUAUUUUGCUUUGCUUUAUUAGAUCUUAUCAUGAUGAGGAACAUUACAACAGUGUGAGGUUGAAGGAAGACACUGGAGAUGGGCCAGCUAGGCCAAUUACAAUCAAGGUUGCUACUGGAAUUUAAUUCUAAUUUACUAAGUUAGUAGGGAAGUUGGACAAAUUGUGAAUUUAAGUAUGUGAUUUGAUAAUUUCUUUUGCUGAAAGGCCGAUUCUAAUCUCUCGUCAUCGUCUCGCCAAGCAAAAGCUGGGUCAAAGAAGUCUAAAGCAGGAGCUGGUAAGGAUAUUACUGAUGCUGGAUCCAUCAAGCUAGUCAUGGCUGGAAGUGGUUGUGAGAACAUUGAGAAAGUUGAGCAGGUUAUGUCCUCGCUUCUUCUGCUCGCUUGUUUGCAUUAAAUGCUUUCCUCUCAUUUGCUGGGUGUCUAGAAUUAGAAUACAAGACCUUUCUGUGGCUUCUGUGUGACAUGCGAUACUUUUACAGACAUUGCUGCAAAUGUAUGGGGAUGUUGAUGCUGCCAUAGAGUAUUUGAUAGCAGAAAAAGGUAUUGAAGAUUUUUCAGAGGAGGCUGUCCGGUCUCCCUGCAAUGCAGAUGCUUCUUAUGGUAAUGGCUGGUCAGUAUUUAUCUCUCUAGAUUUUCUUUAAUAAUUUAACUUCGCAUUUUCAGAGAUACCAUGUUGAGCUUCACAAGAAGCUUGUUUGGAGGUCAUUUUGAUGCAACUGGUAGAAUUACUGUGCUUUGUCUUGUCAACCAUAGAUUUUUGGGGUAGUCAAACAUGUUACACCCAAAACUAUUUCAUAAUUCUUUGUGGUUUUAGGUGAUGAUGCCAGUGGAAAUUCUGAGGAAUAGAGAGAGGAAUUUGUGGAAGGGGCCAAUAAAGAAAAUCCACCUAGCAAUAGCACUAAACGGACUCAUGAUGAUGGCAGUGCCCAGCGAGAAGACAAGGUUUCCACAAAAGAUGACUAUGUUACCUCUUUUACCAUUUUGGUUUUAGCUCAAACGUGAGAACUGUUGGUGAUGCGUUCCUUCAUUUUUAUUUGCUUGUUUUAUCUUGCAAUGCAGAAAAUUCCAAGAAACAAGAAUUGUCCAUGUGGUUCAAAAAAGAAAUACAAGUCCUGUUGCAGGUCAGGGACAGGGAAAGUCUCUGCAAUUUCCAAGUAUUUCUCGUUCUCUCAGUGCUUUAUAUGUUAAGUUAUAGUUUAAGCUUGUCUUUUGUUGAAGUACCUUUCCUGUUUCUGUGUGAUUCGAGUUCAUACGUAUCUUGAAAUUAUGGCUUAUGUAUCCAAAAUUGUAUCGUAAUUAACUUCAAGUCUGGACUAUUUUCUCACUCCUAUGCUUUGUCGAAUAAUGGGUUCACUUUGGAAAAAUGUUCAUACAUGAGUAAUAUAAAUUUGUACUUACAAGAACAAAGACAGCACUGAAGAUUUCUCCUUUUUUAUGUCUAAACGUUGUUUUGCAGUAAUCAAGCUCUUGAAUCCAGAAAAGGUAGAAAGGAAAAGAAGCGAGGCAAGGGAGGGUUUGACACAUCUGCACUUUCUAGUGGAUCUGAUGGAGGGCCACCUGAUAUGGGGGUUCUUUGUAUCUGAUCUUUUGUUAAAGUAUGUGCACCAUCAUCUAUUGAAUUUCAGAUAUCAGUACGCUGUCUUUCAAAUAUUUGAUUAGACACAAAUUUUUUUCUACUUCCAUUAGCAUGAAUUUGAUGCAUGCAUCUCUUUUUUGAUCUUUGGGAUAAGUGCACUUUCUAGUUUUCCACCUGUUGCCAACUUUAGAAAAAUCUAUAGGUACAAAAUUUUCAAUGGUGUUAUUUUUCUUGGAUAGUCUGCCCGUUUGAUGCAUUUUAUACUGGCAAUUGUAAUUUGGAGAUUCUUUGUACACAUAACUGUUGUGCAUGCAUAUAACACCUACCCUGGUAGAUUUGUUGGCAUUGGCAUAGGUGAGUUUGGUGAGAAGUCAAAGGGGAAGGAGAUAAGGAAAUUCAGUUAUUGCUGUCCCUGGGCUAAACCUUUUCAUGAAUAUAUAAGAGACAUCACAUGAAUUUGACAAGUGAUGGUUUAAUUUCUAAAUUCCCUUCCAAAGUGAUGGUUUUGUUGUAACCGUAGUUUGGGGUUCCCAUGAAGACGUCAUUCCUUUUCCUUUUAUUUCUUUGACAAAAAAGGCACUAAGCAUUUAUGCACACUUCUUGUAAUUGAUAAAAGACGGGUAAGAUCCAAAAUGCACUUAAGCUCCAUCUAUAAGGACCCAAAUGCAAUCCAUCUGCAGUUGGAGAUGACACAGAUAGUACAUAUGCUAGUUCUUCCAUUCAAAUUGGUGCAGAUUUCUAAAAUUAAACAACUUUGACUGACAAUUAUCUUUGGUUAUUUUGGAAAAAAAAAGUAGUAUAGAUCUUUUGUUGGUUUUCAUUGGUUGAUAUAUCAUCAUAACAUCAUUUAGACGAAUUAAGUCUCCAAACCUCCUAAGUGAUGGAUAGUGUGUAAAGACCAUGAGCACCUGCGAAGUUUUAGUAGUAGAUUUUCCAAUAAUCCCACAAUAAUCCUGAAUUUUUUCUUAUUGCUUUUGUGGAAUUGCAUUGUGUCAGAUGGGGCUUGUCGAGUUCUCAAGAAUCACAACAAUCUCGCGGCUUAGUCAUUGCAUCCAUGAGGGAGUGGGGAGAGAGUCGAAUUGUGAGCAGGAAACUAAUGCUGAAAGAAUCUAUAACUUGAGCUUCUUCCUGGAGCAACUUAUGAGGUUACUCAUUAUUUUUUCUUGGCUUGCCUCAAAUAUAAAUUUUUUCAUUCUCUAUUAGCUGCAACAUAGAGCGCAUGUUAGUCUGAGGUUAUCUUCUGUCUUCAAAGGCUGGUACCUUAUUAGUCUUGUAUACUACCUUGUCCCAAAAUGGGGAAAUAAAAGAUCCUUACUUCAUCUAACAGCUUAAUUGAACCUUGCAUGGUGAUGCUGCUCUAAUAACACAGGGAGUUCAGCAAUUUUUUAAGCUAAUAAAACUCUCUGUAGAUUCAUUAAUUCCAUGUAAGAAGUCAAAAACACAUGAUACUUUGCAAGAUUGAAUUGUGUGCCUUGUGAGGCCCAUUUUCACUCAAAUGGUGAUCCAACAUGUGGGAGGGCAUAAUUGCCCACUGAAUGUAGACAUCCCGAGAACUUUAAUGCGAUGAAAGCGUCUUCGGCUUGGCCUAUGCCGUGAUGUUCUGAGGAUGUCUAGGCCGGUAAGUGGACUUUUCCCAUCGUGUGCCAUUGUUGAACGAGAUUGGUCAACCUGCUUCUUCAUUGUCCUCGAAAAGGUGGUCUGUAAAAGCCAGGAGACCACACCUAGGUCCAUUCCAUGAGAUAAGUGUACCUAGCUAUUAAUUAAGUGUCUAGUAUAAUAGACUUUCUUAUUAAAUACUUAGAUAAGGUUCUGAUUUAAAGUAAUCGAUAUAGUUGUUAGCCAUGUGUUUAAGGUCUAUCUUAUGGUUAUGUUCAACCAUUUUGUAUUAUGAAUUGAGAAUUUUAAUAGGAAAUACAGGAUGCAUUGUUUUCAAAUCUUUGGUCCAUUGAUUUUGUAGAAUGGCUUUGCCCGGGUAAUUCUAAUUAGAGUAUAGAAGGGCCAGUACUAGAUUAAGGAUAGUUUACUUGGAAUAUAUAUAUAUAUAACGUCUUUUUGUAAAACGUCUUUGGCUGAUUUGCAAUCAAUCCUCAAGAGGAAUUUUUGAUUUAGUAAAUCUCCUUGGAAUUUUGAUAUAGAUAAACUAUAGCAAGUAUUUCUUUUUUGAUUGUCGAAUAAUUUUGUUGAGUGAAAUUCCAAUGUUUUGAAAUGAACUGAACAACUUGUUCUUUGUUGUUAUUGACUUGUUUGAGAAUACCGCCAUAUCCUAAUUCUGAGGCAUCUGUUUCAACUAUUUUGAAAGUGAAAGGGUCAGCAAGGUGUAAUCAUGGUAUAUCUUUUACAUGCAUUUUGAUUUGUUUGACAAUGUCUGUAUGGACAGAGGUCCAGGGUGGAGGAUCCUUUCGUAACCUUUGGUGUAAAGGUUUACAAAGGAUAUUUACAUUUGGAAAGAAAUCUAAAAUAUAAUUGAGACUACCCAAAAACCUUUAUAAUUGAGUUUUGUCUUUGAUCUCAUCAGGGAAUUUAUCGGUAAAAGAGAUUGAUCUUUCAAUGGGGGUUAUAGUAUUUAAAUGAAUGUAAUGACUUAAGAAUCUAAUCUUGGUUUUGAAGAGUGCAAUUUUAGUGGGAGAAACUACAAGACCAUUUUGUAUUAUUAUUUUUAUGAAAGUAGAUAGAUGUUUGAAAUGUUGUUCUAUAUUGGAAGAAAAUACUAGAAUAUCAUCUAUAUAAACUAUGAUAUAUUUUGAAUAAGGAUUGAAAAUCUCAUUCAUAAUUCUUUGGAAUUCUGAAGGGGCAUUUUUUAGGCCGAAUGGCAUAACAUUCCAUUCAUAUUGGCCAAAAGGGACUGUAAAGUUUGUCUUGUAUUUAUCCUUAUCACUGACCUGUAUUUGCCAGAAUCCUGACUUCAUGUCGAAUUUUGAAAAUAUUUUUGAUCUACAAAGUCUGUUUAACAAAUCUUUUUUAUUGGGUAUAGGAUAUCUUAUCCACCUAAGGGCUGUUUUAAGAGGUUUAUAAUUAAUGACUAAUCUGGAAACUCCUCUUUCAAGUUCAGCAUUUUUAUUGACAUAAAAAGCAGAACAACUCCAAGGUGAUUGGCUUUUUCUUAUGAGUUUUUUAUCUAAGAGAUCUUGUAUUUCUGCUUGACAAAAUUUCAAAACUUCUUGAUUCAUUUGUGUUGGGCGAGCUUUGGUAGGUAUUUUGUUUUCAGAAAAGUCAUGUUCAUAAGGUAAAUCAACGAUAUGUUUUUUUCUUUCCCAAAAGGCAUUGUCUAGAGUUGAACAUAUAGUUUUUUCUAUAUGUUUUUGUAUGGAAGCUAUUUUCUCUAUGAUGUUUGGUUUUAUAAGUACACACACGAUGCAGUAGGGACGUGUGGUGUGGCAAGCAAAUCAAUUUCAAAAUUUAAGCGUCAAGUAAGAGGAUUGGCAUUUUAUACAAUCGAUUUAAUUGGUUGGUCACAUCACUUUAGCCGUUAGCGAUUUGACUAUUGAAUAAAAUAAUUUUCUCAAACAAGGAGGUGGCCCCUCGCAAAGUUUUCAAAUGCUAGAAUUCCCAAGCUUGCGAGAGCUUUAGGAAACCUACUCCCUUUGAAGAAAUGAUAUUUAUCAUCACCUAAAGUUGCAAGGACUCUCUAGCAAGUACCGCUGUUGAUAUGCACUUUGUAGUUACUAAAGAUCCAUAUUGUCACUUAUGGGUUUGAUGAAGGAAUUUACCAUGCUAUUGGAUAAUUCCUAAGUGAUAGGAUCAUCGAGAGAUAAACUCUACAAUCAAAUUGCUAACCUCAAAAGAAAGAUACUAACUAGAGAUGUAGUGAUGAUAAUGAGGACUUCAUGGGACUUAUGAUUGUCGGAAAAAUACUUACGAUGUACAAAUAUUAUCAUUUACAAAUAAAGAGGAUAAAUACUAUAUCAAUGGAGAAUUGAAUAAUGAUGACGCUCACAAAUUAGCAAUAAUGAAAGGGAUGUUUGUGAUGCAAAGUUAUACUGCAAAGUUAAUAACCAUAUUUUGAGGAUUUUGGGUGAUUUACACUGGUUCUAGAAUAUUUACCGAGAAAUUUCGUUAUUUAUUAUGACCAUUUGAUGAAAUUUACUUUAUUAAUUUAAGUUUACUAACGACUAACAUUAACACAAUGGCAUAACAAAGAUUAUUUUUUUGGCAAUGAGCAAAGUUUAACAUACUGCUAUAAGGGAUAUGUAUAGAAACACAUUAGUUCCGCAAACCUUUUUGCUUCAUCUAUAAACUGCAUAAAAAAAAAAAAAAUUGAAAUUGCCCAAGUAAAGGAAAACAAUGCUUGGGGAGAUGAAAUAUGAAUACAAUUUGUUUAUAAAUAAGUACUUUAGAAGUCAUAAAAUUUGUUGUGAAAGUAUAAUCAAAUUCUAAGACUUUCAAAAAGUGAAAUGAAGUCUUAAAAUCUAUCCCAUCAAUACAAUUAAGUAUUUUUGUUAGCUCCACCAAAUCUGAGUAAUGAAAAAUAUUGACAUGUCAUUUAUUGAUAUGAUUUGACUACACGUGCUAAAGAUAUUUGAACCAAACAUGAAGCCACGUUCUACUAAAUUGAAGUAUCUUGUGUGCCAAGUCACCCUCUCUCCAUUUUCCAAAUCUAACAUUAGAGAUUGAAGUGAAUGCCAUCUCUUACUUCAACAACAAACAUAAAUGUCCCGAGGUAUCGAGAAACAUAUGCCAACCCCCAGUUUGUUUCGCUAGCUUAAUGAUUGCUUCUUUCAGAAUUGCACACCAGCACUAUUACACUCGCCUCUUCCCAUUUAAUCUAUUCAUUCUCGUUGUCACUAAUGUACUUGUACCUGUAUAAGUACUUGCCCAAGGACUCGUACAAGUCGUCGUCACUAAUGUACUUGUACCUGUACAAGUACUUGUCCAUGGACUCGUACGAGGACUCAUACGGGUACUCCAUUCGCAUGGCUUCCAUUCUUCGCUCCAUAUGGCGUGGGAGAAAUUUGUAGAAGAAUUCUUUGAGCUUCAUUUCAUAUAUUGAAGCUGGAUUCACUAAUUGCUUGUCUUCGAGCACAACUUUCAAAUCAUCAUCCAUUUGCUUGCAUCUUAGCACAUAUCCCAAUUUUUUUAUGGUUCCACCCGAUAUACUAAGUGUGAGGCUAAAUAGUAAGCAAUCCUCGUCAAAUUCAAGAAAAUCAAUAGCUCCCCCCAACACUCCCCAUAGCAUGUUCGGUUUGAGAUAUUGAAUCCAUGUAUGAUUCGAAUUAAAUGAACCGAGAGAUCCCGAUAGCCCAUUCCGUCUUUGGCCGUUAAGAAGGGGCACGAUGUCGAAAAAUAUUUCCUUUUCUCCAUCUUCUAUAGUGAAAACAACACAGAGAGCUAAUCCCCAAGAACUUAUCAUAAAAGUCUCGUGAAACCAUGAAAGAUAUGGUAUUGCCUUCAACAAUGAUGAACUCCUCUGGCAUAUCUCCUCUGGGAAGAAUAUCCAUGUAGUGAGGAGCAAUUUCAGCAUAGCGCCACUUCUGUUAUACCGAUAAAUUGUUAGACGUACUAAAGUUGAUAAUUAGUUAAAAUAGAAGAGUUUGAUUUGAGAAUUUUUCUAGUAAUUUAACCAAAGCUAGAAUUUUCGUAAUAAUUAAACAUAUCGAUCUUUCCUUGCCUUAUAUUUAAUACUCAGGAAAUCAAUCACUUCACUUGCGAGUAUUGUCGUAGCACAUGGUGCAGAAUCACUCUACGUUAGAUUUACUUAUUUGUAUAGAAUUUUCAGUUUUUGCGUUAUACAAACACAGUGCGCCUGACGUACACUCCAACAAGAAAUCAACACAUGCACUUAUGAAUUCGCACGUAUCCCCAAGGGCCGGAGAGAGAGAGAGAGAGAUAGAGAGAGAGAGAGAGAGAGAGAGAGAGAGAGAGAGAGAGACCUCAACUGAAAAGUCAACCAUGAUAUCAGCGGGCGAGGAGUCAUCUAUACCGUCGCCUUCUUCUGAGCUUGUUUGGUAGUUGUCUUCAUGGUUUAUCCCCCGCUAUUACAUAUAGGUGCAAAAUCACAAUAUAUUAGCUUGUUUUGUUUACUAGCAUCUGCAGUUUUGCAUUAUAAAAACACAAAGCACCCAUAUCAAUCACACACACACCCCAAUCGCGGAGAGGGAGAGAGAGGGAGAGACCUCAACUGAAAAGUCAGCCAUCAUAUCGGCGCGUGAGGAGUUAUCCAUAUCGAUGUCUUUUCUUUGUUUUUUCUGGGGUCGAAUAUCGUCGUCUUCUUCUGAGUUUGUUUGAUAAUUAUCUUCAUGGCCUACACGCCACUGUUAUUUAUAGGUGCAAAAUCACAAUAUAUUAGCUUGUUUUGUUUACAAGCAUUUGCAGUUUUGCAUUAUAAAAACACAAAGCACCCAUAUCAAUCACACACACACACCACAAUCGCAGAGGGGGGGAAGGGAGGGAGGGAGAGACCUUUUCCAGAUGUGAGAGAUCGGCCGAAAUUUCUUCCUCACUAGUCGUUUCUUCAUCGUGAAGCGGAAUAUGAUAAAUCAAACUUGGAUCUAACAACUUGUAAUCUUGAUUCAAAGCCUCCGAAUCAUCCUCUAGCGGCUUGCAUAUUAAUCGAAAUCCACACCUUUUUACAAUUGCACCAUCCCAUGCUUUAAUGCCUAACUGGAAAGAACUUGAGUCAUUUGGACCAAAAGGGUCAACUCCCCAUAGUCGCUCCAUUGCAUGCAACUGGAUUAACACAUGAUCCGAAUGCAUUGUGGGGAAACUUAUUCGCUCGAAGUACGUAUCAUUCCGUCUGCCAUUAAUGUAUGGAAUGAGCUUAAAGUCCUUUCGGGUCCCAUCCUCUACUUCUUCCUUUACUCGAAAUACAACAGAGAUAGCUAAUCUUAGGAACUUCUCAUACAAAUCCUUCGAAGCUGUGAAAGAUAUGUAACCCUCAUUAUUCAGGAGUAACCAUUGUGGCAUCUCUCCUCCAGGUAGAAUAGUUUCCAAAGAGUAUGGGUAACCCGUUUCCAUAAACUGCUGUCGUAAAAGUAAAUUGUUAAGAUAUUAUUUUGAAUUUAACACUCGAAAAAGAGGAGUUUCAAUGAGUCAAAUUUAGCUACAAUUAGCAAUAUAUGUACACGACUUCGUAUUAAUCAGAGAGGGAGGGAGGGAGAGUCUAACCUUAUUGCGGAACAUAUCACAAAAUAAUCGGUUAACGGACAAUAUGUCGGAGGGAAUUUUGCUUAGAGAUUCAUAGCGUUGGGUGCGGGUGANNNNNNNNNNNNNNNNNNNNNNNNNNNNNNNNNNNNNNNNNNNNNNNNNNNNNNNNNNNNNNNNNNNNNNNNNNNNNNNNNNNNNNNNNNNNNNNNNNNNNNNNNNNNNNNNNNNNNNNNNNNNNNNNNNNNNNNNNNNNNNNNNNNNNNNNNNNNNNNNNNNNNNNNNNNNNNNNNNNNNNNNNNNNNNNNNNNNNNNNNNNNNNNNNNNNNNNNNNNNNNNNNNNNNNNNNNNNNNNNNNNNNNNNNNNNNNNNNNNNNNNNNNNNNNNNNNNNNNNNNNNNNNNNNNNNNNNNNNNNNNNNNNNNNNNNNNNNNNNNNNNNNNNNNNNNNNNNNNNNNNNNNNNNNNNNNNNNNNNNNNNNNNNNNNNNNNNNNNNNNNNNNNNNNNNNNNNNNNNNNNNNNNNNNNNNNNNNNNNNNNNNNNNNNNNNNNNNNNNNNNNNNNNNNNNNNNNNNNNNNNNNNNNNNNNNNNNNNNNNNNNNNNNNNNNNNNNNNNNNNNNNNNNNNNNNNNNNNNNNNNNNNNNNNNNNNNNNNNNNNNNNNNNNNNNNNNNNNNNNNNNNNNNNNNNNNNNNNNNNNNNNNNNNNNNNNNNNNNNNNNNNNNNNNNNNNNNNNNNNNNNNNNNNNNNNNNNNNNNNNNNNNNNNNNNNNNNNNNNNNNNNNNNNNNNNNNNNNNNNNNNNNNNNNNNNNNNNNNNNNNNNNNNNNNNNNNNNNNNNNNNNNNNNNNNNNNNNNNNNNNNNNNNNNNNNNNNNNNNNNNNNNNNNNNNNNNNNNNNNNNNNNNNNNNNNNNNNNNNNNNNNNNNNNNNNNNNNNNNNNNNNNNNNNNNNNNNNNNNNNNNNNNNNNNNNNNNNNNNNNNNNNNNNNNNNNNNNNNNNNNNNNNNNNNNNNNNNNNNNNNNNNNNNNNNNNNNNNNNNNNNNNNNNNNNNNNNNNNNNNNNNNNNNNNNNNNNNNNNNNNNNNNNNNNNNNNNNNNNNNNNNNNNNNNNNNNNNNNNNNNNNNNNNNNNNNNNNNNNNNNNNNNNNNNNNNNNNNNNNNNNNNNNNNNNNNNNNNNNNNNNNNNNNNNNNNNNNNNNNNNNNNNNNNNNNNNNNNNNNNNNNNNNNNNNNNNNNNNNNNNNNNNNNNNNNNNNNNNNNNNNNNNNNNNNNNNNNNNNNNNNNNNNNNNNNNNNNNNNNNNNNNNNNNNNNNNNNNNNNNNNNNNNNNNNNNNNNNNNNNNNNNNNNNNNNNNNNNNNNNNNNNNNNNNNNNNNNNNNNNNNNNNNNNNNNNNNNNNNNNNNNNNNNNNNNNNNNNNNNNNNNNNNNNNNNNNNNNNNNNNNNNNNNNNNNNNNNNNNNNNNNNNNNNNNNNNNNNNNNNNNNNNNNNNNNNNNNNNNNNNNNNNNNNNNNNNNNNNNNNNNNNNNNNNNNNNNNNNNNNNNNNNNNNNNNNNNNNNNNNNNNNNNNNNNNNNNNNNNNNNNNNNNNNNNAAAGAUUGAGAGAUUCAAGAUUCUUGGGUUGGAGUAUAUCGGGGAGAUGAUGAAGGUUAGAGCAACCUUCUAGAUUCAACAACCUCAACUUGGCAUGAUAUGCAACUGAUUCGUGAGCACGCUCCAAAUUUUUGCACCCAUUGAGAUCCAAUUCCUCGAGAUUUGGAAAAAAAUCGAGGUUCGGCAUACAAAACAUGGCCAGACAUUCACGGAAGUAAAGGAACUUCAAAUUUUUAAAGUCCUGCAAGAAAUAUCCACGUGGAAAGAAAAUGAAGAUAAAAAUAUUUAAUGAAAAACACUUGAUCAUCAUUCAAGACCCGUGUGAUCAGAAAUUAGUUGAUCAUAUGGUGUAUACAGAGCACUCCCACUCCCUUUUUAAAUAUGAGUUUAUUAAGUGAUCCUUGGCCAAAUGUGAAGAUUAAAAAAAGAAUAAUACUCGUAAUUUCACCACACACACACUAAGCUCUAUCAAGCGACACACAAGAGAAAUCAUUCCAAUGCUAAGUAGCAUGGCCACUUCCACUAUGUAUAUGUUUAGAAUCAAUACAUGUAAUUCAAAGAGAGAGUGACCUCAAGUGGGAGCACAUGAGCGAGCCAUGGUCAAAUCCUUUGCCAGCUAAUUCAUGACAUGAAUUUAAGCUAACAUAGGUGGCACUUGAUGGACCUACAAUCUUUUGCAGAGAUAUGCAAACCUGCCAUAAUUGCGGUGGAAGCUUGGGAAUCUCUCGUGUCAUCACUUAUUAGGUCAUGGUGCUUGGUUGAUCGAUUUUUGAGAAUCACACAUUUUGUUGAAUGUAGUAGACCCUUGAUCCGUUAUAUGUUGCUGAAUUUUAUAUUAGUGAAAUUGUGCACCCACAUGGUAUUCCAAAGACAACUCCUUACGUUGUGUAGUGAAUGCAUCUUUUAAGUCCUUUGGAUCUUACACCAUUAUCCACCACUAAUAUGGAGAAAGAGCUAAGACAAUAAAUAAGUUACGUGAGGAAGUGAGGAAGAGAAGUCCGAAGCAAAAUGUCAAAUAUCCCAGUCAAGCCAGAAAAGAAAAAAGAAAAAGAAAGAAAGAAAAGCCUGCUGUUUUUAAAGAAGUUGAUCUUGUCUGGAUUCAUUUGAGAAGAGCGUUUUCCACCUAGUCGUGGUGCUACGGACGGUUCUUUUCUAGUUUUGGAACACAUUGAUAAUAAUACCUGCAAAAGUGAGCUUUGUGGAGGGAAUGGUGUUUCCACUAGUUUCAAUGUUGCUGAUCUAUUACUAUGAAGUUAGCUUCGAGGAGUCUUUUCAAGAUUUUAAGAUUCUCUCUUGUGAAUAGAAUAAUAGGGAUAAAAUAUAUUUCUUGAUCAGUGAGCCUGUUUUAUACUUUUUAGGAUUGUUUUAGUCUCGAUUCAAUGUGAUAAUAUUGUACCUUGUUUGAAUUUUGUAUUUCGGGUUCAUUUUUCUUUACUUGGAGAUUACUCAAAGGUACAGUAGGCUCCUACUUAUAAGUGUCCUCUCGGUGUCUCAUGGUAAACACAAUUAAUCUAUUAAAUGAAGUUUCAUUCUAUCUUUUCUUUGUCUUUCUCUCUGUCCUUUUAGGGGAUUCAUGAGUGAACGAGAGAGUGCUGCAUCCUUGGACUGGCCUGCAAAGGCGGUGAUUUGGCCAAGGGAGACCUAGUGUAUGUUGUCUCUUUCCUAUCCUCCAUAGGUGGGGUUUUUCCACUUCAUUUAGAUUGAAAAACCCCUUCUAUUUAUUUGUUCGCUCAACACAUUCCGGCGUCAAUGUGGCCGACAAGCAUGACAGCAAAAUUGAAAGUCCAUGAAGUUUGUCUCUUGUGAGGCAUAGGAAGAGAAAACUAAAAGAGUAUGCACAAGAUUUGGAAAAAAAUUGAUACUGAAAAAUUGAGCAAAACCACUAAAUUAGAAAUAUUUAAUGGAAAGAAAUUGUUGGUAAACACACAAUACACAAACAUAGAAUGUAUGUAGGAUAUUUCUAGAUUAAAAUUUGCAAUAAGAAAUUUGUUAUGGGAUAGAAAAGAUUAAAAUUUAGAUUGUGAAACAUGUGAGAGUUAAAAUAGACCAAUAGUUUAUGCACCUCUCAAUAAAUACAAUAUUUGUAAAAUAAGUAAUCGAGACAUUUUGGGGAAAGAAUUAAAUUGAAAUCCUGCAGAAGGUCACCUUUACUUUGUACAGUAGUAUUUAUAUGAAUAUAAAUAUAACACAUAUAUACAUAACUUAAGAUUCGAUUUAAGUUAAAAUAUAUUUAAUUAGCAAAGCGAGCCCCUUACUUCUCUUUAGAAAGCCUUAUUAGUCAUGUGUGAAAGCCAUUACUCGCUACCAGCAUCCUAGAUGUGGUGCGCUAGCUAGAUGUGGUGCGCUAGCGCGUCUAUAAACUAAGACUCUUCCAUGGAAUUGUACUCCACAAGCUUUUAUUUAAAAUAGCGGGAGAAGGAAUGGCUGGUCAAUCUAUCUCCCCUGAGAGUUGCUUUUCAUCCUGUGAUUUCUCACUUAGGAAUAAAUGGAGUAAGGGCGCAACCGAAUGGCCCGAUUGAAAGGAAAGGAGGGGAACGUGUUACAUACUUGGAAGGAGACGGAGAAACUCUCAGUUAUAUUUGAAAAUGAAUAUUUUAUCCAUAAAAAUGAAGAUAACUUUCUUGGAGUUCUGCUUAUUCCUCCUCCUAAAAUUAAAGAAAUACUUGCUAGAAAUCUAUGGUUAGGUCGGCACAAUAAAAAGAGACGGGACUUUUGGGGCUGACUUACAGUAAAGACUCAACUCCUUUAAAGAUCCUUUACUACACGAUUUCUACAUAUCUCCUUUCAUUAUCGACUGCAUUCUAUUAUAGAAACAACAACGGGAGGUUCAAUCAAAAGUACUUAGCGUGCAUUCGCUUCAAUGUUAAAGCAAAUAAGCAAGAAAAAUCUCAUUCUAUUUUCAUAUGUAAUUUCAAAAAGAAUCUAGUAAACUCGUCUCUUAUAUAAAAUAUAUAAUCUUUGAUAGUAUUUUUAGUAUCUAUCAUUUCAAAGGCACACAAAUUGAAUCCUCAGGCAGUUCAUGUUUAUUAAAAUACUAAGCACGUUCACCAUUCAAUUGUUAAAUUAUGUCACCAAUAAGUUCUUGUUCCAAUUUUCGGUAUUAAAGUUACUGACCGUAUAAACCCUUUUUUUUUUUUAUAAUUUCGGUACUUCUAACAUUUGAAAAUGAGAUAGAAUUUUUUUAGCAAGUAUCUUUUGUUCGAAUCGACAAUAAAAUUCGCAUAGAAAAGUGUUUAAUACUCCCCUAAAACGGGAAGAAUUUAAUCAAAUAUAAACAAUUUAACAGAUGCAGAUAUUUCUUAAGCAUAAUUAACAAGCAUCAUCAAAGUUAGUAAUUGUUGCAUCCAAAGUUUUCUAUAAGACAUGCAUAUAUAUAAUCAUAAUCAUAUGCAUACGGAUAUAGAUAUGUAAGAGAUAAGCAAAUAAGGACAAUUCAUUUGAAUGCGCACCUUAAAUUGGUCUACCAUGACUUCAAUGUUGCUUUUGCGCAGAUCAAGUCCAACUAACUUCUUUGGGCCAGAGGGAAAUUCGAGAACCCCAAAAGGACAUUCAGGCCAUUCAAGCCAUCUCAAUUUAUUAGGAAGAUAGAUACGAUCUUGAAAAGAGAUAUGCACAUUAAUCAUGAUGAGCAACCUCAAGCUUCUCAUGUUUGUGGAAGCAUUGGGACUUAUAAAUAUUGCUUCUGCAUCGGGUAAAAUCAAAACUAUGGCUUUUACUGCAUUUGUUCCCUACAUUUAUAGAACUUGCAUUGCAAUUAGUAUAUGAAGUCAGAGAAGAAGAGAGUAAAAUCAGUGUUUAAACCACCAAAACUUACCAUAUCCCCUGAUAGAACAUCACAGACAUCUUCACGGAGCCAUAACCUGCUGCGUCCCCUAGGAUCAUCGCAACAUUCUUGUUUAACAAUAUCCAUGCCCAUCAACUGAAUCAAGUCAUGCAUCUGUAUUGUCGCCCCAUAUUUAGUUAUUAAGGACUUCUCAACAAGAACUUCUACUCCAAUCAUUGUGUCAAAGUCGCAACUGUCAAGGACUUUUAUAAUAUACUCCAUAGAUCGCCCCUUGAAGAAACAUGCAAUAUCAAGGAAUAUUUCCUUUGCAUAGUCCUCUAGUCCAUCGAAACUUAACUUGAGAACAUCAUUGAUGUCUUUGUCAGGAUUUUUGGCAAGUUUACUCAAUGCGCUUUCCCACUGCUGUUCUGUUCUACCACAUAGGAAAGAGCCCAAUACCUCAAGUGCUAAAGGAAGUCCAUUAGCAUAUUGCAAAGCACUAUCCACAAGAUCCCUCCUCAUCACUAUUUCCUCACUUCCAAAAAGAACAUGUUUAUUGAAAAGUUCAAGAGCUUCCAAAUCAUCUAGAGUUUUAACUUCAAAGAUAUGAUCUUCAUCUAUCCUAUGGAAAGUUAAUAGAUGUUUAUCUCUCGUAGUAAUGAUGAUUCUGCUUCCUUUACCAAACCAUUCACGCCCUCCAGCUAAAGCAUUUAAUUGUUUUACGUUAUCAACAUCGUCGAGAACAAGGAGGACUUUUUUGUGGCAAAGUCUACGUCGCAUCAAAUUAAUACCUCCAUCAACACUAAACACUGUCAAUUCUUUUCCCACUAAUAUCUCGGACAACAAUUUUUCCUGCAAAUGAACAAAAUCCUUGGAAUCUUUUGAAGUUUCACGAACGUUUGCCAAAAAACAUGAAGCCUCAAAUCCCCUGAAUAUAUCAUUAUAAAGGGCUUUGGCUAAUGUUGUUUUUCCUAUGCCUCCUUGUCCCCAUAAUCCUAUCAUGACAACAUCAUCAUGAGACUCAAGAUUUAACAUAGAUUCCAGCUUUACCACUUGUCGAUGUAUUCCAACUGGAUGCUUGGCAACAUGUAACGGUUUUCGGUCCAGCAGCUUAGAGAUCUCCCGCACAAUUCUGUUGAUAAGAUCUGCUUCAUCUCUGACAAAAUCCGGAAAGGUACUAGAUAUAUCAAUUUCCAAAGAUAAUUAACUUUCAUGGAAAAAGAAGAAGAGAUUCAGCAUAUAAAAAAGAAAAAAACAAAGCAGUGUCACAUCAAUCACUACUUAGUACUUACUUAUCCUUUAAAUCCCACCCAGACAAGUUACCCGCAUCAAAGAGAGCCUUCUCCCAUCUCUUCACUUUCUCUGAAUCUCUCCCAAACUUGUUCUCAUGCUUAACCAUAGCUUCUCGGUAGCUCCCUCUUGGCGUUCUCACUUCUCUAGGAUCCACUUUGUAAAACACCGAAAAUACCGUGAGUCCUCUUUGCUCCUUGCACUCCAUGAUUUUGUCCACCUCUUCCAAACACCAUGGCGAGGAUGCAUAGCCCUCAGAGAAAAUGAUGAUCGCGAUGCGCGAGUCCUCAAUCGCCUUAAUAAGCGCUGGUGUUAUUUGUUCGCCUUUCUGAAGCUCCUCGCUAUCGACGUAAGUGUAGAUUCCUUUCUGGUCAAGAGCCGUAUAGAGAUGACCAAGGAAGUUGUUUCGAACGUCAGUACCUCUGAAACUCAGGAAGACGUCAUAAUUCCCUUUCAGAUCUGAAGAAGCAGCCAUUAGAGGAGAUGAAGUUUGAUGUGCUUCCUCAGAAUGCUUAGUGUCUGGUCGGGUUGCAGCUCUAUCUCUCAUAUGGAUAUCGCUUUGUACUAAUAAAGAAAUAGAAACGAAAACCAGAUCAUUUCUCAUGCUCCAAGUCGAUAACCAUAUACUCCACCAACUAAUUUAACAGAAAGCAGCAUUUUGCAUAAGGUGCACGGAACCAUCCUAUAUAGGUGCUUCUUGACUUGACUUGACUUGCCUUUUCCAUUAAUAAAAGAAAUAGAAAAGAAAACUAGCAACACUCCCAUGCUCCUGGUGCUAAAUUGCUAUUAUACAUGAGUCAAUCGCAAAAAACCGCUUGUUGGAAUAUUAUUUAUAAUGAACAAUCUGACUUUUUUCUUUCAAAAGGGAUUCUACAAAAGCAAAUCCCAAAAUAAAUUUCCCUCACUUUUCAUACUAAAAUUUUCCAUACCAUGUCCUGCAUUGAACAGAACAAAUUCGAAUCUGUUCAGGCAUUUCUUCAAACACGUAGUGGGCAGCGAGUUGGAGAGCGAAUAUGGAUCUAUUCGGAGCUCGAGCUCACACUUAAACUCAAGAGAAAUCAGCGAGCAACGUUCAAACUUAAGAAAAACCGACUCAUUCAGAUCCGACGCGAGUGAGGACUAAAGAAAUCGAGCUUGCUUUGCUUUGCUCUUUUAAAAUCAAGCAGGACGAGGCAAAAAAAAAAGAAGGAACGAGAACUCAAUCGUGGGGGCCCUACCUGGCUUGGAUUCCGUGGGCAUCGUCGGCGGCGAAGGUUGAGAAUAGCGAUUCCAAACUCGUGUCAGGCGUCAGUCGACUCCACCGAGGUCAGGGACGGCGACGACGAAUGGCAGCGGGCGGAGGAUGCUCUGGAGGUGGCGGACGACGUAGAUCGGCUGUGGCUCUGAGGUUUUGUGUGGGGCUUCAAUGGCAACCGUUCACGGAGUAGAGAAAGACCAAGAUGCUUCUUUUUUUUCCCCCCUUUUUCGUGAGAAGUAAAGAAGUAGGUGACAGUGAAGGAGUGAGGUAGGAAUCCGGGAAUGUGAUGCGAGAGCAGUCGCCGGCGGGAGGUAGGUACUCGGACAGAGAUGGUGGAGGUGGCUGGUCAGGUGAGUUCAGGAGAAAGGGUGAGGAAUGCUUUUUUCUUACUUUUCCAGAAAAUGCUCCCUGAAGAUGGUGGUCUCCUCCUCCUCCCUUUUCGAGAACGCCCUGCUUUUUUUUCCUUUUGAUGGGAAAUUGUGUCUUUUAAGAGAGAGCGUGAGAGAUCCCUAGAAAGAACUUCCCUUUCAGAUUCGAAGAAUC